RNAcentral lists this long non-coding RNA (3585 nucleotides) under Homo sapiens (human). RNAcentral's name for it is "HSALNT0283750". Lineage: Eukaryota; Metazoa; Chordata; Mammalia; Primates; Hominidae. The record is from RNAcentral.
CAGCGUUGCGGCUCGAGGCAAAGCUGGUCCUGUGCCUGCUGUCCAUUGCCGCUAAGGCCUGCUGCUGCCAUUCAGGCGUGUCUCUCUCUCUCUCUCUCUUUCAUGCCGCUCUCUCCACCCCAUCUUGGGACGGCCAGCUCUAAGAAUUCCUGCUACGACACUGAAUUCAACCAGGACACGCAUGCGCAAGGCUUGAAUGGCGUCGGGGUUGGAGGGUUGGAAGGUCGGGAAGUGAAGGACUCGCAGGCAUAUUUAACAACGCAAAGUUGCUAGGAGUUGGUACCAGCGUUUGGGAGGUAGAGGUGGCGCUCAUGCAUAUUUGAGACAACAUCUGGAUGGUUGGGGAGAACUAAGGUUGCAAAAUGGCGAGGGGGGAGGUAAGCUGUCUUUGCUUGGCCAUCUUGGGCUAGCAGGCCUUGCAGAGAACUACCUUUUUAGCUGAGUGAAGGGAUCAACCUGAGUUGGAGUUCUCCUAUGCUGUGGCCAGAUCCACUAGAAAUUAACCCAGAAUCUUAGCCUCUCAGUGGCCUAUCUGGAGACAGGCCACAUUUGGGCAGUACGCAUUCGGAGGGCUCUCUGGCUUUCCGAUCUUGGGUCGCUGUACUUGGCUCUGAAUACAGUCACCCCAUCAGAGUAGCAAAACACUGUGGUUGUAGUGUGAGAAUCCAAUGUUAAUGUUGGCCGAAAGCUCUUGAUUUUCUUCCCUGAGAACAUAGGCGUGAGGAUUUGGAUGUGUUUCCAAAUGCUUGUUACUCUUUGCCGUAAACCUGGAAUUUGGACCUAUGGCUGCCUGGGACUCAUACUGUCGUGGAGAAAGAUUGAAAAGUAGUUAAUGGCAGUGGUGGUAUGAACUACACAGUUCUUUGCAAUGAGAAUAUGGGAAAUAAGGACUUAAUGUGAGAUAAGGCAGAAACUGAAAGAAAAUGGCUAUAGCUCACUGUUGUUUACUGGAAAUAGUAGGGGGAAGGAAAGAUGGAAGUCCAGGUCCAGUGUCAUAUACUGCCCUGCACCUUACUCACUUCUCUGCCUUUAGGGUGAUGCCACACUCAAUCAGAAACUAUGCUACUGCUGAAGAGGUAUAUUGAGCCCUGCCUGGUUAACCUCCAGUGAGGUUAUUAGAGAAUUGGGAGAGGCUCAAAUCAGCAUCCUGCACCUAGUUAUCAAACCAUUGUGAAGUCUUGAUUCCUGGAUGGCCAGAAAACUUGUCAUUGGUCAAGAGCAACAUUAAGAUCUGCCUGUUACUCAUACUGAUGCUUCCUGCCCAGCAAGUUCAUCAGAGGGCGAGGAUGAAUUACGGUUGCCAUGAAUGUCCUUGUGAGGCAGUUGGGAAGCCUUGGCUGGAUUGUGAAGGAUAUUUGAAAAGUAUUUUAGAGUCCACCAGAUCAUCCAUGUGAGUGACCAUGCAGCAAAAGAAGGAGGGUCCUCUCAGUGAUUAAGGUAACAUAGUGAUUAAGGUAAGUAGGGAAAGAGAGGCUUACUUUGCCCUGAUUCUUGUCAGGGAGGCUCUUAGAGAUGCCAUUUCCAGAGCAUAAGUGACAGGCCAGCAUUUUCAAAGCUUGCAACUUAUUCUAUAAUAUAUCCUUCUUAAAACAAUUCAUGUAGAUUAUAUGCUCACCCAGUCUGGGAUCACUCCUGCAGAAGAUCAGAAGAACUGAAAUAUAGGUGACAUAAGCUCCUGCUUUUGUAAAUGUUUUGUUGAAACACAGUUGUGUUCAUCCAUUAUUGUCGAUGGCAGCUUUCAUGCUACAGCAGAGUUGAGUAGUUGGGAGAGAAACCAAAUGGACCAUAGAGUUUGAAAUAUUACUGUCUGGCCCUUCACAGAAAGUUUGCCAAUUCCUGGCAUAGGUUAAAUAAAUGUACUAUAUCCACAAAUCCUCCUCUCCCCAUUUUCCUUUCAAUGGGACUUGCAUUUACAGUUGAUCCUAGAAUGUAUGGAAUCUCAUAGUAAUCAGCUUGCUUCUGAAUUUCUUCCCACUCAAAUUAAGCUCACUCAGAAAGCACAUUCACAAAUUGGGCUACAUAUACAGAAGGAGCUAUGUUUUAUAUGCCUCACUGUAGUCAACUCAUUUAUCCUAUAUGUAUGGUUCCCCCAUUUUUUCCUUCUUUUCAGGGGUAACUUUUAAACUUGAGCCAUUCAUGAGUAUCCAAAAAGUUACAACUUAUGUUCUCUAAUUAAGACUUCAUCCUUAUUUUAGUAUACUUCCCCUCUCUGGCUUUUUUGCAUAUUUCUGCAGAUGUCUUGACCUUUCUGGGGAGUAAGCCCCCUUAGAAGAUUAAUUUUCUGUAGUUCUCUAUUGAGGAAAUACAUGACAUUUAGCUUUUUAAUAAUUUGAUGCCAUUCAUUGAGUACCUACUGUGUGCUUUAUGUACCCUGUCUCGUUGAAUUUUUACAAAAAACUGAAAGAGUUAGUUUUGUGUUAUUACUACCUCCAUCUCAAAGAUGAGUCUUGGAAAGCUUAAGUAACUUUAGGUCACAUUGUAAUCAGUGGCAGAACUGGGACUUAAGAACAUAAUUCAUGACUGCAUUUUCUUUUCUUUCUUUCUCUUUCUUUCUCUCUCUCUCUUUUUUUUUUUUUUUUAAAGAGAUAGCAUCUCACUCACUAUGUUGCCCAGACUGGUCUUGAACUCUUGGGCUCAAGCAAUUCUUCCACCUCCGCCUCCCAAAGUGUUAGGAUUAUAGGCAUGAGCCCUCAUGCCUGCCCCUUGCAUUUUCUAUUUAAGUGAUCUUGAAGUUUUUUUUUUUCUUUUUUAAAUCUCGGAAUUUGGCCUUUAGUAAGCAUAGAAUAGCAAAGUGUAAUACCUGAGCUGGGGGAAAAAGUCCUUGAAUUCUUUAGGAAAGACUUAAUUGGUGGGUACAAAGUGAAAUGCUCACUGGAAUCAGGAAUCAGAAACCAGUUCUGAUCACCUAUCCCUACAUAUCCUUCUUCACUCUGCCCUGGCAUAUCAUGGUUGAUGUACAUAGCAAUGAUCAUCCCUUCUGUAAUCCCACUUGACAGUUUAGAAGUGGAUUGAUAAUACUCUUCUGGCUUAAAACCCUUCUUCUCUGGGCAGGUGUGGUGGCUCCUACAUUAUCCCAGCACCUUGGGAGGCCGAGAUGGGAGGAUUGUGUGAGCCCAGGAGUUUGAGACCAGCCUGGGUAACAUAGCAAGACCCUGUCUCCACAAAAAAAUAAAAAAUUAACUGGGCACGGUGGUGCUCACGCCUGUAAUCCCAGCACCUGGGGAGGCCGAGGCGGGUGGAUCACGAGGUCAAGAGAUCGAGACCAUCCUGGCCAACAUGGUGAAACCCCGUCUGUACUAAAAAUACAAAAAUUAGCCAGGCGUGAUAGCAGGCGCCUGUAGUUCCAGCUAUGGGAGGCUGAGGCAGGAGAAUCAGAUGAACCUGGGAGACGGAGGUUGCAGUGAGCUGAGAUCACGCCACUGCACUCCAGCCUGGUGACAGAGUGACACUCCGUCUGGAUUAUGAAGUAUUAAUUCUUCCACUGAUAUCUCAAAAGGUGAUCUGGACAAAGGAACAGGUAUCUCAGAUUCCCAGUUCUCAAUCUUCCUUCCUCCUUACAAGAUACAAGCAACCUUCAACCUUCCC